AUUGAACGCUGGCGGCAUGCUUUACACAUGCAAGUCGAACGGCAGCGCGGGGCAACCUGGCGGCGAGUGGCGAACGGGUGAGUAAUACAUCGGAACGUACCCAGAAGUGGGGGAUAACGUAGCGAAAGUUACGCUAAUACCGCAUACGUUCUACGGAAGAAAGUGGGGGACCUUCGGGCCUCAUGCUUUUGGAGCGGCCGAUGUCUGAUUAGCUAGUUGGUCGGGUAAAGGCCUACCAAGGCGACGAUCAGUAGCUGGUCUGAGAGGACGACCAGCCACACUGGGACUGAGACACGGCCCAGACUCCUACGGGAGGCAGCAGAGGGGAAUUUUGGACAAUGGGCGCAAGCCUGAUCCAGCAAUGCCGCGUGAGUGAAGAAGGCCUUCGGGUUGUAAAGCUCUUUUGUCAGGGAAGAAACGGUCGGGGUUAAUACCUCUGGCUAAUGACGGUACCUGAAGAAUAAGCACCGGCUAACUACGUGCCAGCCGCCGCCGUAA
This 498-nucleotide ribosomal RNA is filed under the name uncultured bacterium. RNAcentral describes it as "partial 16S ribosomal RNA". It matches the Rfam family "Bacterial small subunit ribosomal RNA", at positions 30 to 523 of the family's 1533-position model. The record is from RNAcentral.